AGCUUUGCGCAGUGGCAGUAUCGUAGCCUAUGAGGUCUAUCUGAGGCAUGAUUAUUGCUAGUUGAACCCAGCGGCACAGUGGUGCAGUGGUUAGCACUGUCGCCUCACA
Molecule: small nuclear RNA, 109 nt
Filed under: Mola mola (ocean sunfish)
Lineage: Eukaryota; Metazoa; Chordata; Actinopteri; Tetraodontiformes; Molidae
Description: U4 spliceosomal RNA (ENSMMOG00000010147.1)
Rfam family: U4 spliceosomal RNA (bases 1-67)
About the family: U4 small nuclear RNA (U4 snRNA) is a component of the major U2-dependent spliceosome. The structure of U4 snRNA from yeast and human has been reported.
Source: RNAcentral